Molecule: long non-coding RNA, 1052 nt
Organism: Monomorium pharaonis (pharaoh ant)
Lineage: Eukaryota; Metazoa; Arthropoda; Insecta; Hymenoptera; Formicidae
Exons: 2
Source: RefSeq, a predicted model, not a curated record
AUUCAUAUUUCGUAUUUUCGAGAAAAUUUUUCUUUUCAGUUUCAGUUACGAUUUCUCGUUGCAAUGUACACAAAAAAUGCACGAAAAGCGACAACUUUCCGAUCGCUGAUAUCUUCUUGAAACGCGCGCUAGGAUCAAAUUGAUCAUCGCCUCUAUCAGACGACCAGGUGGCUAAUUUUCAUUUAAAUGGAACGACAAGUGAGCGCUGUAGGCAUUCCACCACCUUCGCUCUAAAAGAGACCCACGCGAUCUCUCUUUUCCUCGCCCUCGGGCUAACUACCGCAAAACCAAGAUGCAAAACGCUCUUGAAACUUGUGGCAAAAGUUUAAUUGUCUUUUGCUUGCGUUCUAUCUAGGAUUCCGCACCGACGGGACGACGUGCUCCCGCAUCUAUAAUCUCCUCGAUAAAUACAAAAUUCACUGUCUUAUAUAAUACACAUAUUCAGAGAAUAUGGCAAUUGUUUUCAUUUUUCUCUCAAACAUAAGAGAAUUUUGCUAAAAAAUUUUAGUUUUUCGUAAAAUUUUCAAAAAUGUUUAACGUCAACAAAAAUUUAGAAAUUCAUUGCUAUUACAAAUCAUAAAGGACAAUAAAUUAUCCGUCGAAAAGAAUACAAAAGAGCGAUAUGUUGAAGAAAAUAUGUUGUAAUAUUAUGUGCAAAGAAAAGAAAGAAUAAAGAUAUAAAAAAGAUCCACCGUUUACGUAUUGUUUGACAGUUUCUUGAACUAAUCAGUCGCAACUAAAUUUGCAGUUCAUUAAAAUUCAAUACAUCAUGGCCAAUCAUCGAUCAGAAUAUAUCUGCAGCUACUUGAGAAGGCCGGAUUUACUUAGUCGACGUUAAACUUAAUAAGAUCGCUUCAUGAAGCGGAGUUUGUUCGUAAUCGGGAUCAGCAUCGAUUCGACGUAGGGCGUACACGAGCGAUUUGCAUAUUUGUUAUCGCCCCGGGGGCCGAAAUCGAUUAAACGGGCGGAACUAAAAUUAAUUAUUGAAAUAAUUAUCGGCUUUCUCUCUGUCGUGGUACCGUCAUCGAAGCCAGACUCCGCGACACCCAAAA